Molecule: long non-coding RNA, 1463 nt
Organism: Ictalurus furcatus (blue catfish)
Lineage: Eukaryota; Metazoa; Chordata; Actinopteri; Siluriformes; Ictaluridae
Exons: 5
Source: RefSeq, a predicted model, not a curated record
AAUAGGAGCUUGUUCCCCGGUGACACUGUUGUUUCACCAGAUUCUAAAUUCUGUCCAAAUGUUCUAACCAAACCAGUGAACAUGGCACAUUUACGCUUGACCAUCUGGCAGCAGGAGUCCCAAGUAACAAGUUUACACUCCAAAACUAAAUAGCUUGAACAAUCAUUAUAGAAAAACCUCAUUUUUAAUCUUAUCUGUAGACAAAAAACUGAACAGGACAAGCUGCAAUAAUUCCCACUUAUAAUACAUUCAGUGACUCUGUUCUGUGGAUAAGAAAUGUUUCAGCAGUCUGUGACCUUGCUGUUAAUUGGCCAUGAUGCUUUAUUAUUAUUAUUAUUAUUAUUAUUAUUAUUAUUAUUAUUAUUGUUGUUGUUGUUGUUGUUGUUGUUGUUGUUGUUUCCCCCAAACCCCUUCUGUAUAUCCAAUUGCUCCAUUUGUAUAAAGCAAGGUUGAUUGUGAACUGACCUUAUGAAAUAAUACAUCCAUCGAUCCAUUUUCUAUAGCGCUUAUCCUACAGGGUCGCGGGGAACCUGGAGCCUAUCCCAUGGAGCAUUGGGAACAAGGCAGGGUACACCCUGGACGGGGUGCCAAUCACAUACACAUACCCAUUCAUACACUACAGAAACUUUGGACAUGCCACUCAACCUACCAUGCAUGUCUUCGGACUGGGGGAGGAAGGAGAACAUGCAAACUGCACACACACAGGGCCGCAGCGGGAAUCAAACCCUCAACUCUGGUGGUGCUAGCUAAAGCCAGCCUAGGCUGGUUGGCUGGUCUUUGCUGGUUUAAGCUGGAUGUAGCUGGUUUAAGCUGGUCUCCCAGCCUGGCCAAGUUGGUCAAGCUGGUCUCCCAGCCUGGCAAAGCUGGUGUUCAGAUGUUUUAGAUGGUGGAUGGGUCAGCUGGUCUCCCAGCCUGUAGUCAGGCAGGCUUGGGUCGCGGGGGAACCUGGAACCUAUCCCAGGAGGCAUCGGGCACAAGGCGGGGUACACCCUGGCCAGGGUGCCAGUCACAUACACACUCACACACCCAUUCAUACACUACGGACACUUUAGACACACCAAUCAGCCUACCAUGCAUGUCUUUGGACUGGGGGAGGAAACCGGAGCAUCCGGAGGAAACCCCCGCAGCACGGGUAGAACAUGCAAACUCCGCACACACAGAGCCCAGGCGGGAAUCGAAGCCCGGACCCUGGAGGAAAAAUAGAAGACAUCAUGCACAGCAAAUUCAUCAGUGUUGAUUUCUGAUAAUACAGCAGAGAACCGAGAGGAGCCACGAGGCCAGCUAGCUAGAUAGCUAAUUAUCUGGCAAAUUGAGACAGUACAGAGAAAAUAUCAGCCAACACAGGAAGAAACAGCUGGGAAGAAACGCUUUGAACGUUUAUUUCUAGGCCAGGUAUAUUAACUGUUCAUGUUCACUUCUCAUUUUAUGAACAUGUUUGAAGCAGGGCUGGACAGUGUGAACAU